GCGGGCGUGGCGAAAUUGGUAGACGCAUUAGACUUAGGAUCUAAUGUCGCAAGACGUGGGGGUUCGAGUCCCUUCGCCCGUA
This 82-nucleotide transfer RNA is filed under the name Culturomica sp. RNAcentral's name for it is "tRNA-Leu". It matches the Rfam family "tRNA". From Rfam's summary of the family: Transfer RNA (tRNA) molecules are approximately 80 nucleotides in length. Their secondary structure includes four short double-helical elements and three loops (D, anti-codon, and T loops). Further hydrogen bonds mediate the characteristic L-shaped molecular structure. tRNAs have two regions of fundamental functional importance: the anti-codon, which is responsible for specific mRNA codon recognition, and the 3' end, to which the tRNAs corresponding amino acid is attached (by aminoacyl-tRNA synthetases). tRNAs cope with the degeneracy of the genetic code in two manners: having more than one tRNA (with a specific anti-codon) for a particular amino acid; and 'wobble' base-pairing, i.e. permitting non-standard base-pairing at the 3rd anti-codon position. Lineage: Bacteria; Pseudomonadati; Bacteroidota; Bacteroidia; Bacteroidales; Odoribacteraceae. The record is from RNAcentral.